This 512-nucleotide ribosomal RNA is filed under the name uncultured bacterium. Its description in RNAcentral is "bacterial SSU rRNA". It matches the Rfam family "Bacterial small subunit ribosomal RNA", at positions 15 to 518 of the family's 1533-position model. The record is from RNAcentral.
GAUCCUGGCUUAGGAUGAACGCAGCGACAGGCUAACACAUGCAAGUCGAGGGGCAGCAUAAAGUGGCAAUACUUGGUGGCGACCGGCGCACGGGUGAGUAACGCGUAUGCCAACCUACCCAUCAGAGGGGAAUAACCCGGCGAAAGUCGGACUAAUACCGCAUAAAAACAGGGGCACCGCAUGGUGAUAUUUGUUAAAGAAAUUCGCUGAUAGAUGGGCAUGCGUUCCAUUAGGUAGUUGGUGAGGUAACGGCUCACCAAGCCGACGAUGGAUAGGGGAACUGAGAGGUUGGUCCCCCACACUGGUACUGAGACACGGACCAGACUCCUACGGGAGGCAGCAGUGAGGAAUAUUGGUCAAUGGGCGAGAGCCUGAACCAGCCAAGUCGCGUGGAAAAGGAAGAAGGAUCUAUGGUUCGUAAACUUCUUUUGCAGGGGAAUAAAGUGCAGGACGUGUCCUGUUUUGUAUGUACCCUGAGAAUAAGGAUCGGCUAACUCCGUGCCAGCAGCGGC